Molecule: microRNA precursor, 106 nt
Filed under: Columba livia (rock pigeon)
Lineage: Eukaryota; Metazoa; Chordata; Aves; Columbiformes; Columbidae
Also listed under: 1 other name
Description: mir-223 microRNA precursor family
Rfam family: mir-223 microRNA precursor family
Source: Rfam by way of RNAcentral
CCGGCAGCGAGCGCGGUGCCGCGCUGCGUGUAUUUGACAAGCUGAGUCCGACACUCAGUGCGAGAGUGUCAGUUUGUCAAAUACCCCAAGCGAGGCACUGCUGAGC